AUUGUUCUGCAACCUCGUUAUAGUUUUGAUAAGAUGAGCAAUUUCAACUGUAUAUUGUUUUGGUGUGACUCUGAUUAUUAUUAUGUUUGAGUUGAAGACUUGUAGUAUUCUGUUUUCGUUUGUUUCUUGUGUGUGGUGGCACUGGUAUUAACAGACUAACACUCUUCAUAUGAAAAGGCGAGUCCUUUCAACAAACCAAGAACAACACAAAGCAUUAUUAUUACAUCUCUGAUUGGUUGUGGUGUGGGUUCUGUUCAUAUUUUGCUUGAGAUUGCUCUGCUUAUUUGAAGACCCUUUUUUUCUUAUCUCAGGUUGAUGGAGUCAGGGUUGCUUCCAGCUGCAGAGGCAAAGAAAGUUCUUGAGAAGAAAUUGCAAAAGACUGGAAAGUUCAGUUCUCCAACAAAAUCUGCAGCUUCCACCCCAAGAACGGCUUCUUCUACCCCAAGAAGUACCAGCUCCAAAUCUGUAGUGACCGAGAAGAAGGAAGUUAAAAAACCAGCAUCUGAAGCUUUGUCAGGCAGAAAGAAAGGAAAUGAUUCGAAGAAGCGGAAGAAGGAUUCUGAUUCUGAUUCUGAUGAUGAUGAUGAUGAUUUCGUGGCUAGCAGAGUCUCUAAUAAGAAGGCAAGAGCCAAGUAGUUGGAAAUUUAAAACACUCAGAAAUCUCAGUUGUGUGAUUUGAAACAAUCUAAUUGUGUGUUUCAGGACUUAAUUUGUUGAACCCCUCGAAAUUGAAUUCUGUAUAAGAGUAAUGGCAGAGUUUUGUUUCUAGUCUAUUUAACUGGCUCAUUCUUCAGGUGUUCUCUUUCACCAUUGGUAACUCUAGUUAUUUUAUCAAAACCUUAAUGUGUGUGUUCCUUUGUACACUUUUCUAAACUCUUAUUAUAAGAGUUGUUGAUGAUGAACCUUUUAUUAAAAAUGAUUUAACUUGAAGUUGGUUGGAUUGUGAAACUUUUGAAUAUGUGAUAAAUCUUUUUGCCAACGAUGGUUUGUAAUGGUAUAGGUAUAUAUUGACUCUACAAAGAGAAGACAACACGUAAGCAUUGAAAUCAGAAUUCACAUGUAAGUUUGUUUGUUUUGUUGAUUAGGUGUUUGGAGAGCUCUUCUGAUAGACUUGGAAGAAAACCUUCAAUCAAAAACGAGAUAAAUAUGAGUUUUAUAAUCUAAACAAUUCAUCAUCAUCAUCAGAUUCAGAGCAAGAGUAAAACGAGAUAGAUUCAGAGCAAGAGUAGAACGAUUCAUCACAGAUUUACAAAACUGGAUCGAAGCUAAAAGCCAAAAACCCACAACAUAGAAACGAGAUGGAUGAUCGAAUCAUGAAACAUACCUGAAAUCGCGAGAAGAAAAAGUAGAAAAUGGAGAAAUCUUGUACGGAUUAAGAGAAUCAAAGCCGGAGAAGACGAAUCGAGAAGCAAAGAUCGAUUUUGCCAGACCGAUCGAGAAGAAAAGUCGAAAAGAAUCGCAAAAUAUUUUUUCCCCAAAUUGACUAAACUCUAGAAAUCAAGUGUUUUGGGCCAACCCAACAUCCAUUUGAUUUGGACCAGUUAACCCAUGGACAAAGUAGGUCUUUAGCCCAGUUAGACCAAAAGUUAUUUGGGUAUUACCAUCACCUACCCAUAUUUGUUUUGAAUGGGUGAACCCAUGAGUGGCCCAACCAAUUGACACCCCUAGUUUGAGCAAACCAUAGAAGGUCUCUAAUUCACAACCGGCUAGAUCCUUCUUGUAAGCGGUGCACCUCGUAGUUUAUACACCAAACAGAUUGAAUUAUUAUUAUUUACAUAUUUCUGCUUUAAUCGAAUUUAAAUUCAAAAUUUUAAUAAUUUAGACCACCUUAUAUAUAAUUUUAAGAAGUAAAUAUAGAUUAAUUAAGAAAAGGCCUAACAUUAUUAAGAUACAAAUACAUGUGAAAGUUUGAAAUAAUCUAUUUAAUGAAAAAAAUAUACCGUACACUUAUUAUGUCUUAAAAAUUGAUAGAUAUAUAUAUAUAUAUAUAAUAUAUACCAAUUUAAAAUUGAAAACAAAAUGUUUAUAUAAAAAUAAACAAAAACAAAAACUCCUGCGGUUGCGCGAGCCAAGAUCUAUUUAUGAUUAAAGAAAAGCAUUUUUGUGGUCCGCUUUAGGCGCUAUACGAAUCACAGACCGGCACUGAUCACAGAUUCACAGUAGACAAACUCUAACAUAACUAACCUUCAUAACGCACACGUACUGUUUCUUGUAUCACUUCACAAACUAAUACAAAACACCCUAUAUCUCCAAUCUCUCCAUUUUUUUACUAUGUACGUGAGCCCAUGACAAUAUCUUGAAAACCACAUCUUCCAUACUAAUAUCAUAACGUGUUUGGUAACGAGGAGAAUAAAAGAGCUCCACUAAGUUGCCAUUUACAAGAUUAAUUCUAAGUUCUAACAGAUAAGUCAGUCAAUAAACUCCACAGCCUCUGCAUGUUUCACUGAAAAAUAGUACUGAGGAAACAAAACUGACUUCACACUUCUUGGUGUCUUCCAUAAAUGUUCGAGAACAUUACAGCGUUCUUAAGUUUGGUGUGUCAAAUUAUAUGAACGUCACCACAACGAAAUCCGAUUAAUUGACAUUAUUAGAAAAAUUAAUUCUAAUCAAGAUUUGUUUGCUAGCAAAUAUAUGUAAUAUUAUAUCUCGAAGUUGUAUAUAAUCAUGAAACCUCAGUAAGAAGCUCGAUCCAUACAAGCUCAAGCUUCUUCUUACACCACACCUGAUGGAAGACGAAGAACAAGCUGUCCACCCAUUAAACUGUUUCCGAAAAACAGACAGAAGUUCCAAGUCUUUAGGCAUUCAAAGGUUUUCAACAAUAGUGUCUAUAAUUAACAUCCUUCAUUAAUUUUGUUUUACCUCUGGACAUAGUAAUAACAGAAAUCUGCAAGAAUGAAGGUUUGGACGAUUUCAGAGAGAAGGACCAUUAUAGGCCAUAAUCCAUAUCCUAAUGCAGUCAGUAACCGCCCUCCCGAAUCCAACACCUACACGCACCGUUUCAUAUAAUCUUUCAGAAGCUGUAAUGCGAUAAAAACGAUGAUUAAAAGAGUUUAUAUUAAAAUGUAACUCUCAAGAACCUGAAGGAUCCAGUGUGCACAACUCAAGAACCUAGCGAUUCCCAAAGCAAAAACGUAGUGUGCUGUGAAUGGUUCCACAAUCUGAGAAUAUAUGUAAGACAUCAACAUUCGAAGAAGAUUCAGAGACAACGUGAUUUUAAUUUUAUUUAAAAACAAAGCAGAUAAAUGAUUAAUUAAGACCUGCGUGUUCUGCAUCACUCUUAACUGAGGAAGAACUGAAACAGCUUCAAGAUAAACACAGAACGCCCAGAAGAGCCUGUUUAUGAUGUGGUGACGCGUGGAUGGAUGAAUGAGGAGAGAUACAACAGCACAUGGGACUACCUGGUGCAAACAAACCAAAUAUUAAAAUGGAGUCAAGAUUGUUACUAAUAAUCAAUCAUAUAAUCAAUGAUUAAGCGAGUGUUUAAUACCGAGAUCCUAACAAAAUAAAUAACAUGCACGUAGAGUCAGAACGAAGAGAGAGCCUUUAAGCAUAUGAUUGGCCUCGACCUACCGUUAAAUCUAAGAUAACUACUCAAAGACAAAAGGAGAAACAAAGAGUUUGGUAACUUUACAACGUAGUAGAUGGGGAAGUUGUCUUUGUCUUCCAUAUAAGUGGGCCUAAGCUUGAGACGUAUCAUAUAGAUGACCCAAAGCGUCGUGACCAACGUAGCAGAAUCAAGUAACGUGUGAAGAUCAAAUUCCAUUACAAAGCUGCAAUACAGCCGCACGGCAAGAAACAGAGCCGUUAGCUCCUGCGACUUGAGAGAGAUCCCUGUUGAAUGAUUUCAUCAAAAAUGAUUAGAACUAACAACAAAGGCAUCCUAAUUAAUUAUCCAAUAUAAUCAAAAUGUAAUAUAACCAGCGCAAGUCUUCUCCUUGGUAAGCUUGUAGAUGAGAAGGGAGAUGCCGAGGGCAUGGACAGCCUCGGAAGCGAUGAAAAGGUUGUCGUGCUCAUGGACAAUGACCUUGAGGAAGACGAGCACCGUCAUUGCCGUAACCACUGCAAAAAACGCCUUUACCUUGGGAGGCUGCCGGCGAAUCCACGACAUCACGCACUGAAUCGGACUCUUCUCCGCCUUCAUCGUUCUGAUUCUCUCCACAGACACACAAAUUCUCUCUCUCUCUCUCUGAUUAAUAGUAAUGAUAUGCCACACAAUUAUCAACUUCGUUUUCAAUGGGAAACGAAUCUGCAUGUCUUAACGAAAGACACUUCUUUUGCGAAGAGGACACGUGGGGGGAAGCUAGAGUUGCUGUUUAGUUUCUGUUUUUUUUCGAACGACUUGACUUGCAGCUACGUCUCUCUUUUCCGGAUUAGAACUAUUGGUUUACUUCGGCAAAACUCAAUUUUACCGGGUUCUUCUUUAAACCGGCUAAUUGCGGUUCGAUUCAACUAAUUAAUGUUUUCCUUUUCGGUUUAGAAGACGCCGUGUGAAGUUAAAGUUCCCUUUGUUUCGGAUUAGACUAUUGGUUUAUUUCGGAAAAAAACUCUAUUGUACCGGGUUCUUCUUUGAACCGGCUAAUUUCGGUUCGAUUCAAGUAAUUAAUGAUUUUCCUUUCUGGUUUAGAAGAUUUAAAACGACGCCGUUUUGAAUUAGGGCAUAACUGACCAAGGAGAGACACCGGAAACACACAACAGCGGUUUCGUUAUCAAAUCCCCCCCCCCCCCCGGAAACACACAACAGCGGUUUCAUUCUCAAAUCUGCCCCCAAGCUUGUUGGUAGAAGGAGAAGAAGAUGACGUCGGAUGAUGCCAAAGCUCUGAAGAAAGAGGAGGAUGAGGACGACAACAAGAGCUUGGGUUCAUUGGCUAGGAAGAAGCCGUCCACAAACGCCAACAAUGCAGGUUCGUCAGCUUCGAGGAAACUGAAGAAGGACGACGAUGAUGAUGAUGAUGAUGAUGAUAACAAACCCAUCAAGUCAUCUUUAUCUGGGUCUCGUCCAAAGCCUGUUAAGAAGAAGGAGAUUGAUCAAGACGACGACGACGAUGAGAAGCCUCUUUCCAAGAGGAAUUCCUCUGUUGUUGGCGUCUCAAAGGUUCGUUCUUUUCUCUUCUCUUUCGCUGUCUGAUUAUAGUUUCUUAAAGAUGAGAUUGUGUUGGUGUCUUUAGGAGAAAGAGUUGAAGAAAAAGAAGAUGGAGAAAGAGAAAGAAGAAGAAGAGGCAAAGAAGAAGAAGAAGACAGUGAAAGAAGAAGGAGAAGUGAAGAAGAAGAAGGAGAAGAAAGUGUAUGAUUUGCCUGGUCAGAAGAGAGACCAACCUGACGAGGUGUCUUUUAUUCUGAUUUGUGGCUAAUUCUUUGUUUUUUUAAAGAACUUACAUUGUUGGUUUUUUCUUGUAAUUUCCGCAGAGAGAUCCACUUAGGAUUUUCUACGAGUCACUUCACAAGCAAGUCCCAACUAGCGAAAUGGCUAAGAUUUGGUGAGGCCUUUCUAUUCAUUCCUUUGUGUGCCUAUAGUUUUGAUAAGAUGAGCAGUUUCAAAUGUAUAUUGUUUUGGUGUGACUCUGAUUAUUAUUAUGUUUGAGUUGAAGACUUGUAGUCUUCUCUUCUCGAUUGUCUCUUGUGUGUGGUGGCAUUGGCAUUAAAGCUCUCAUGCAAUUCUUAACUUCAUUUAACAGACUAACAUUGUUCAUAAGGAAAGGCGAGUCCUUUCAACAAACCAACAACAAUACAAAGCAUUAUUAUUAUUACAUCUCUGAUUGGUUGUGGUGUGGGUUCUGUUCAUCGUUUGCUCUGCUUAUUUGAAGACCCUUUUUUGCUUAUCUCCAGGUUGAUGGAGUCAGGGUUGCUUCCAGCUGCAGAGGCAAAGAAAGUUCUUGAGAAGAAGUUGCAAAAGACUGGAAAGUUCAGCUCUCCAGCAAAACCUGCAGCUUCCACCCCAAGAAGCGUCUCCAAAUCAGCAGUGGCCGAGAAGAAGGAUGUUAAAAAACCAGCAUCUGAAGCUUUGUCUGGCAAAAAGAA
Molecule: long non-coding RNA, 6015 nt
Filed under: Brassica napus (rape)
Lineage: Eukaryota; Viridiplantae; Streptophyta; Magnoliopsida; Brassicales; Brassicaceae
Description: long non-coding RNA (BNAP_LNC005050)
Source: RNAcentral